UUUCAUUUAAAAGAAAGUUUCCAAGUCAAUUCAAAUAACGAAACUAUCAUUAUGGCAGUAUACUGAUUUUGGGGUAAGCAAGGGUUUCAGUACACAUAUAGACUGAUUUAGGAAGAACCAGCAUGGGAGUUGCUGACACAUCUCCUCUGGGUUUGGGUUAGGAUAGCAACAAGUCAGGUUUUUUUUUCAUUUCAGGGUAAAUUUUUACAUUACUCUUUAUUUAUAUGUAUUUAAAUAAUAUUUGAACACAAGUGUCUUUUUAUUUAUUUUAGAACUAAAAAUUGCAAAUCUUACUGUGAGUGUUGUGAAGUUAAAUUUGAAGAUUUAAAAUUGCAUUUGAAUGGAAAUCAACACAGACAAUUUGCUUUAAACAGUAAUAACUAUGCAGGUGUUGAUGAU
Hydra vulgaris (swiftwater hydra) is the source of this 399-nucleotide non-coding RNA. The record is from RefSeq and is a predicted model, not a curated record. Lineage: Eukaryota; Metazoa; Cnidaria; Hydrozoa; Anthoathecata; Hydridae.